ACCUGGGCACACCUGGAUGCACCUGGGCACACCUGGGACACCUGGCAGACCUGGCUCACCUGGACACCUGGACAUCUCACACACCUGGGCAUGCUUGGGCACACCUGGCACACCUGGAGACCUGGGACACCUGGGCACCUGGACACACCUGCCAUAUCUGGGCUCACCUGGCACACCUGAGCACCUGGGCACACCUGUGCUCACCUGAGCAUACCUGGACACUUGGGUUUUUGGGGGGUUUUGGGUAUUUUUGCUUUAUUUUCCUUUCCUGAACAAGUAGCAGCUGCGUGCCCAGCUCUGGGUGAGGAGGAGCUGCGUGUCCCUCACCCUGCUCGGCCCUCAUCAUCCUCACUCCCACCUGAGAGCGGCCCUGGCACAGCCCAGGUGGGAGCCAGGCUGCCAGGAAAUGCACUGGCUGCAUUUCUGCUGCAUUUCUGCUGCAUUUCUGCUGUCCCUGCUCUGCCCACAGCAUCCCCUGCGUCCUGCAGCCCCCUGAGCCCCUCCAAAUCCACAAAACUCCCUCUGGAAAUCUCCCAGGACAGAAAUCACCUCUGUAGCCGCAGUUCUGUCAAUAGCAAAGGUUCUCAUCUCAUUGGUUUUUUACCAGAAAUGCUUUGCUAAGCGCUGCUGUUGGAAAUACCAGUUCCAGCUUUUCUAGCAAAACAAGGGGGGGAAAAAGGAAAAAAACCUCUCAAGGAGGAAAGGGAAUGGAGGAAAGGGACUCAGUGGAGACCCGGCCUGGCCCUUUGGGCAAGGAGAGCAGGGAGCCCCUGGCAGAGGCUCUGGUGCCUCCGUCCCUCUGCCAGGUGAGGUGGGACAGACCUGGGAGUGCCGAGGAGCUGAGGCUGCAGCAGCCGAGGCUGGGCUCCCUUUGGGCCCCUCUUCUGUCGGUUCUUCCUUUGAUCCUCCUGUGCUGUUUGUCCUCCCCUGAUCCCCCGUUCUGUGUGUGCCCCCCGACCCCCUGUUCUGUGUGCAGGCAGCACGGAGCAGCCCCCAGCCCCCUGUGCUGCUCGCCCACCCCUCUGUCCCAGUUCUGCCCCCCCAGGGCACUGCCAGGGGCAGGGGAAGCUCGGAGCCCCCGCUGCAGCUGGGGUGGGACCCCUUGGAUGGACAGGAUUGGGUCAGGCAAAGAGCUCCUGGCCUGGCUUGGCUUGGUCUGGUUUGCUCUGGUUUGCUCUGGUUUGCUGUGAUUUGUCCCCACCACGGACGGUGUGAACACUGGGACAGUUAACACAGGAUCCCUGUCCCCCACAGAUCCUCAGCAUUUCACAAAUGUCUGGGGAGGAAAUUGACUUUCCACAAGACAGCGUCGAGAAUUUUAUUUUUAUAGUGCUGGUUAGCCAAUGAGGUAGUUAAUUAAUUGGUUAAUUAACCAAUAAACCUCCUGCUGGGGGGAAAUGUAAAAGCUGU
RNAcentral lists this long non-coding RNA (1410 nucleotides) under Junco hyemalis (dark-eyed junco). Its description in RNAcentral is "lncRNA (ENSJHYG00000009187.1)". The record is from RNAcentral. Lineage: Eukaryota; Metazoa; Chordata; Aves; Passeriformes; Passerellidae.